This 238-nucleotide ribosomal RNA is filed under the name uncultured bacterium. RNAcentral's name for it is "partial 16S ribosomal RNA". It matches the Rfam family "Bacterial small subunit ribosomal RNA", at positions 96 to 334 of the family's 1533-position model. The record is from RNAcentral.
CGGCGGACGGGUGAGUAACGCGUGGGUAACCUGCCUCAUACAGGGGGAUAACAGUUGGAAACGGCUGCUAAUACCGCAUAAGCGCACAGUACCGCAUGGUACGGUGUGAAAAACUCCGGUGGUAUGAGAUGGACCCGCGUCUGAUUAGGUAGUUGGUGGGGUAACGGCCUACCAAGCCGACGAUCAGUAGCCGACCUGAGAGGGUGGCCGGCCACAUUGGGACUGAGACACGGCCCAA